AGAGUUUGAUCAUGGCUCAGAUUGAACGCUGCCGGCAGGCCUAACACAUGCAAGUCGAGCGGAUGAAGAGAGCUUGCUCUCUGAUUCAGCGGCGGACGGGUGAGUAAUGCCUAGGAAUCUGCCUGGUAGUGGGGGACAACGUUUCGAAAGGAACGCUAAUACCGCAUACGUCCUACGGGAGAAAGCAGGGGACCUUCGGGCCUUGCGCUAUCAGAUGAGCCUAGGUCGGAUUAGCUAGUUGGUGAGGUAAAGGCUCACCAAGGCGACGAUCCGUAACUGGUCUGAGAGGAUGAUCAGUCACACUGGAACUGAGACACGGUCCAGACUCCUACGGGAGGCAGCAGUGGGGAAUAUUGGNCAAUGGGCGAAAGCCUGAUCCAGCCAUCCCGCGUGUGUAAAGAAGGUCUUCGGAUUGUAAAGCACUUUAAGUUGGGAGGAAGGGCAGUAAGUUAAUACCUUGCGGUUUUGCCGUU
This 473-nucleotide ribosomal RNA is filed under the name bacterium ROME1185sa. Its description in RNAcentral is "bacterial SSU rRNA". It matches the Rfam family "Bacterial small subunit ribosomal RNA", at positions 8 to 477 of the family's 1533-position model. The record is from RNAcentral.